Pelobates cultripes (western spadefoot toad) is the source of this 428-nucleotide non-coding RNA. The record is from the annotation of a GenBank genome assembly. NCBI's taxonomy places the organism in Eukaryota, Metazoa, Chordata, Amphibia, Anura, Pelobatidae.
AUAUAAUAAGUGUUGGUACACUUAAUGUGACAGCGGUGAAUUAUGGUUGAACAGACAUAUAGCGUAAAUUCAAGUUUUUGUUUACGUUUUGUUUUGAUCAGAACGUGCACUAUUGACUCCGUCCUGAAGGGGUUAAAAUAGGCAUUGAAAGCAAUGUUUCAGUGUUUGCAGAUGACAUAAAACUCUGUCAAAUAAUACAAUGUGAGCAGGAUAUUGCUUUGCUGCAGAGGGAAUUAGAUUGGGGUUACUGGGCACUCAAAUGGCAUAUGGAAUGUAAUGUACAUAAAUGCAGUUAUGCAUUUUGGGUUAAAGAACGCAUAAGCAAUUUACGCCCUAAACAAUAGUGUAUUAGGGCUAACAAUAUACAAGAAGGAUUUGGGAAUUGUCGUAGGCAACAUUAUGCAAUGUCAAUCAGCAGUUGCUAAGGC